AGCAACCUGAGGAACAAUGCAAGAUACCCUGCAGGGUUAUCAGCCUCCUACAAGGGAGUCCCAGGCCCAUGACUCUUUCCAGAAAGAUUCUCCAUUCCUCAUUUUCCUCUAUGGCUACUAGUCAAUUUCUGAGGGUCUUUCUCUGUCACCCAAGCUGGAGUGCAAUGGUGUAAUCAUAGCUCACUGCAGCCUCGACUCCUGGGCUCAACUCUCACUUCAGGCACGUACGUGUCUCACCCAAGGCAUCGAAAAUACCUGGUAUGUCUGGCCUCCAAGUCCUGUUAGCUUUUUUUUUGUUUUUUGUUUUUGAGACAGAGUCUUGCUCUGUCACCCAGGCUGGAGUGCAGUGGUGUGAUCUUGGCUCACUGCAGCCUCCAACUUCCAGGUUCAAGCAAUUCUCAUGCCUGAGCCUCCCUGGUAGCUGGGACUACAGGCACGUGCCACCACACCUGGCUAAUUUUUAUAGUUUUAGUAGAGAUGGGGUUCUGCCAUGUUGGCCAGACUGGUCUCAAACUCCUGGCCUCAAGUGAUCUGCCUGCCUCGGCCUCCCAAAGUGCUGGGAUUACUGGUGUGAGCCACCACGCCUGGAUGAUAUUUUGAAGACUUCAUAUAAAAAUAAGUAUCUCAAUAAGUUUUAUAUUGACUACAUAUUGAAAUGAUACUAUUUUAGAUAUCAUGGAUUCAGUAAACUGUGCUUUUAAAAUUAAUUUCACCUGUUUCUUUUUACUUUUAAAAAAUGCAGCUACUGCCGGGCGCGGUGGCUCAAGCCUGUAAUCCCAGCACUUUGGGAGGCUGAGGCAGGUGGAUCACGAGGUCAGGAGAUCAAGACCAUCUUGGCUAACACGGUGAAACCCCAUCUCUACUAAAAAUACAAAAAAUUAGCUGGGCAUGGUGGUGGGCUGUAGUCCCAGGUACUCGGGAGGCUGAGGCAGGAGAAUGGCGUGAACCCGAGAGGCGGAGCUUGCAGUGAGCCGAGAUCGUGCCACUGCACUCCAGCCUGGGCGACAGAGCGAGACUCCAUCUCAAAAAAAAAAAAAGUUAGACAUGUGGCUCACAUUAUUUUUCUGUUGGACAGUGCUGCUCUAAAGGCUUAAUUUGCUUUUCUUACCAUAAUAGCCCUCAUGACUUGGGUUAGAGAGUCAAUUUGGAAAUUAUCCCAAUUGUUGAACUUAUUUAUUCCAAUUGUACACUCAACCACAAGAUGAGUUUGGGGUCUUAUUAGAGCCCAAUGUGAGACUAAUUGGAAUCAAAGCUUUAUAAUCUUAUCAUGAGGCUGCCACUGACUGGUAAUCCAUGACAGCGUUCUAGUCUCCCAUUAUUUCAAAGCCGAAGGUUUAGAUACUUUCCUUCCCUAUGUGUACAUCUACCCCUAUGAAUAGCUGUCUAUUUGGAGAAGUUGAGGGGGAGGAGGUUGAGUAUAUACCUGUCAUGUUACCACAGCCUUUUUUUUUGAGGAUAUGCACCUUUCCUUUUAUUUAAGGGGCUCAGAAUCUCUGAAAUUAAUCAGACCUGGGAAUUGAGUGAGGAGGCAGGAUUCUACGGUGGUGGUUCAAGUAAGGCCUCUUAUCACCAAACUUGGAGUUUUUUGGUUUCAUACAUCAAAUAAAACCUUAUGGUGGGCUACCCAUCUGUUUCAAUUCUGGAUCUUCUGUUUAGGUAAUUAGGUACCACCAAAUAGUCAGACUAUUCAGAUGACUACGUAAGUAUGUCUGGCAGUUAUGACAACUGUAGAUUCCAUGCCUUCGAAAUGAAGUGCUGAUGUUUGGCCUUGCUUGUGUGUUCUACUCCCAAUUCCAUCACCCUUAUUGGAAUUAGGGAGACUAUGUCAUCCCAUAAGGAGUGCAGUUCAUCCCAUUUGCAUCCAUGGCCUACAACUGCUUUACAGAGAUUCUAGCUCUCCUUGCACCAAUGCAUUUCUCAGUGGUUUGGUGAUAUGAAUAUAUUGUUAGUCUUUACUGGAGGGGCAUGAUUUUUUUUUUUUUUUGAGAUGGAGUCUUGCUCUGUCGCCCAGGCUGGAGUGCAGUGGCAUAAUCUUGGCUCACUACAACCUCUGCCUCCC
This 2059-nucleotide long non-coding RNA is filed under the name Homo sapiens (human). RNAcentral's name for it is "HSALNT0354446". Lineage: Eukaryota; Metazoa; Chordata; Mammalia; Primates; Hominidae. The record is from RNAcentral.